This is a long non-coding RNA of Varroa destructor (honeybee mite), 682 nucleotides long. The record is from RefSeq and is a predicted model, not a curated record. Lineage: Eukaryota; Metazoa; Arthropoda; Arachnida; Mesostigmata; Varroidae.
CCUGACUAUCUAGUACUGGUCAUGCUGCGUAAUUCCAUGUAAGGCAACGACAAGGUUCCACUCGCGCUAACUAAGAUCGAAGCAGGCUUCGACGGAUUUUGCCCUCGGGAAGUUGCCAGGCCCUUCGUGUUCCCUGGAGAUAGUGAUGCGGUCGCUCUUGGCAUAGGAUCAACGUGUUCAGGCACUUAUCGACGAGCAUCGUGCCGUUCCAUGCCUUCUGUUUUUGGGAGAAUCGGGAACCUUUGCCCGGAAACAAAGCGAUUCUUCUUACGUUAACCGUCCACUGAAUAUACGGCAAAGCAGUUUCAGUUACACGGUUCGACGGCUUCCAACCGAACCGACAUGUUGACUCCGAGGAUUAAUGGAACAAGCUACAGAAGUGCAUUCUACGUACGAUUCCCAUUCCAUCAACAGACAGAUCUCCACUUCUGCAUCAAGUACACAAGCCCUCAAAUUUUGACACCGACUUAAAACUGUCGCAUUGUGAUAAACAAAGUUCUGCUACAAUUCUCGUUGAACUUCCACCAAGAUUCCGACUAAAUUUGGAUCAUGGAAGCGUUUAUACGAAACAGGAACCACUAAGUAAAAGCUCGUUCCAAGAAGGACGUUAACAACUUCAGCCAUGGCGAAAAACAGUGUUUCGACAACUGAAUUACCCGAAUUCAAGCUUGUAAUGCUGCAA